RNAcentral lists this long non-coding RNA (422 nucleotides) under Marmota monax (woodchuck). Lineage: Eukaryota; Metazoa; Chordata; Mammalia; Rodentia; Sciuridae. The record is from RNAcentral.
UGGUUUCUCAAAAAUGGAGUCACAUCAGUUUCUCAAUAUCAGUCUUUAACAGUUUAGAUUCCUGAGAGAAAAGCCAGUUGAGCUCACUGUCCAGAUGGGUAAUUUCAAGACACAGAGGGGACAUGGGGGAGCCAGCAGUUUCUUUGAGCAGAAAGGACAGAGUUGGUGUCUAAGGAAACAUGGUAGCUAGAGGUCAUGGUGCAGAGAAUCUGAGAGAGAUGAGACAUGCAGAGGCUCACAGUCUGGGUCUGAAUGUGGUGAGCGCACAGUGGGAGGUGAGAGCAAGGUCCAGGUAAAUUCUGGCUUUACCCCUCUUCCCUUGCUUCCUAGACAUCCAAGUAUGGCUUUUGUUCAUGACCUAAGGCAGAAAAGCACACAGAGAAGUGUUCCCUGGAGGUUGGACAUGUGCUCUCUCUGUCACC